Molecule: ribosomal RNA, 468 nt
Filed under: uncultured bacterium
Lineage: Bacteria
Description: partial 16S ribosomal RNA
Rfam family: Bacterial small subunit ribosomal RNA
Source: RNAcentral
GACGAACGCUGGCGGCGUGCUUAACACAUGCAAGUCGAACGGAAAGGCCCUGCUUUUGUGGGGUGCUCGAGUGGCGAACGGGUGAGUAACACGUGAGUAACCUGCCCUUGACUUUGGGAUAACUUCAGGAAACUGGGGCUAAUACCGGAUAGGAGCUCCUGCUGCAUGGUGGGGGUUGGAAAGUUUCGGCGGUUGGGGAUGGACUCGCGGCUUAUCAGCUUGUUGGUGGGGUAGUGGCUUACCAAGGCUUUGACGGGUAGCCGGCCUGAGAGGGUGACCGGCCACAUUGGGACUGAGAUACGGCCCAGACUCCUACGGGAGGCAGAAGGGGGGAAUAUUGCACCAUGGGCGGAAGCCUGAUGCAGCAACCCCGCGUGCGGGAUGACGGCCUUCGGGUUGUAAACCGCUUUCGCCUGUGACGAAGCGUGAGUGACGGUAAUGGGUAAAGAAGCACCGGCUAACUACGUG